RNAcentral lists this ribosomal RNA (808 nucleotides) under Fissurina sp. Luecking16116_B. RNAcentral describes it as "SSU rRNA". It matches the Rfam family "Bacterial small subunit ribosomal RNA", at positions 362 to 1221 of the family's 1533-position model. Lineage: Eukaryota; Fungi; Ascomycota; Lecanoromycetes; Ostropales; Graphidaceae. The record is from RNAcentral.
UAUUGGUCAAUAGCCUAACGGCUGAACCAGCAACUAGGAGGAAUGUAAAAUUAUUGUAAUAGAUAAUUUUCUGUGUGAACAACAUAGAGUUAACGUAGUUAAGUAAAGUUCUGAGUAAAAAUUGAUAAUGACAAUUUUUAGGAGUAUGUCUUGACCAAUUCAUGUGCCAGCAGUCGCGGUAACACAUGUAAGACUGGUGUUAUUCAUCUUUAAUAGGUUUAAAGGGUACCUAGACGGUUAAUUAAGCUAUAAAAGUACUUAUAUAACUAGAGUUUAAUGUAAGAAGAAGAGUACGGUGAGUGUAGAGAUAAAAUUUUGUGAUACCACUUAGAAACUGGCAAAUGCGAAGGCAAUCUUCUAUGUAAAAACUGACGUUGAGGGACGAAGGCUCGUUAGAAGUAACAGGAUUAGAUACCCUAGUAUUGUGGGCAGACAAUGAUGAAUGUCAUAUGCAAGAAAAUUUUUGUGUAUAAAUGAAAGUGUAAGCAUUCCACCUCAAGAGUAAUAUGGCAACAUAUAAACUGAAAUCAUUAGACCGUUUCUGAAACUCGUAGUGAAGUAUGUUGUUUAAUUUGUAGUUACACAAAGAACCUUACCACAAUUUGAAUACUAUACGUAAAUAUACAAUAUAGAUUUUAUACAAGCGUUGCACGGCUGUCUUCAGUUAAUGUCGUGAGACUUUGGUUAGAUCCAUUAAAUUAACGUAUAACCCUUACUUUAUUUAAUAUAAAAUAGUUCGCCGCUAUAUUGGUAGUGAUAUAAGGGACCAAGACAAGUCAUCAUGACCUAAAUAUUGUGGGCUAUAGAC